This is a long non-coding RNA of Plodia interpunctella (Indianmeal moth), 745 nucleotides long. RefSeq lists it as uncharacterized. The record is from RefSeq and is a predicted model, not a curated record. The transcript has 4 exons. NCBI's taxonomy places the organism in Eukaryota, Metazoa, Arthropoda, Insecta, Lepidoptera, Pyralidae.
UCCAGCAUUGUUCAUCGAAAUAAAAAGAAAUGCCAAGGGAGUUACGAGAACCUGUUAUUAUUCAAAAAAUCCCUGAAGUUGAUGCAUGUUGUAUAUGUAUACCAUUGAAGAUAGCUGUUCUUAUGAUAUCCGUGUAUACUGCAUGCUUGGGCCUGAUUGCUCAGUUGAAUUACACCGACAUUAAAUACGAAGGGUUGUGCGAAUUCAACCCUCCCUCCGCAUGUGAACUCAUCAAUUUAAUGUACUUCUUAAAGUACUUCAACGCAUUUCAAGGAAAUUUGGUUUUUGGUGCUAGUUUAGCGUGUUUUGUUGGAAUAUAUAUUAAUAACUCGAUCGCAGUGUCGGUUUAUUUGUACGUGAUGGCUGUUCGCACCGUUCUCAUUGUGGUUCAAUGUUUAAUCUUAGUUUUGUUUGGCAAUACAGUCAGCAACUGCAACCUGAGGCUUAACCAAACAGUGCUCUGCAUUUCUUCUACUGUAUUGAGUUGUGUUUGUAACAUAUACAUUUUGAUCAUUGCAAAGAGCUAUCGAUCAAAAAUAUCAUUGAAAAGCGCAGUGGGAGUUGAGACUGAAGGCGAGCUGACGCCCAGCCAGUCGCCGGAGCUUGAGAACGAUCCAUGAAACUUGUUCAACAUUCGUGUUGAUGAAAAAUUGAACUCGAGAAUCAUUUUGUAUAUCGUCUGGCCUCCUGUGGACACACAGAAAUACUAUAUAGUAUCGAACCUAGAUGUGAAGCGGGCAAAAUG